This 317-nucleotide long non-coding RNA is filed under the name Nicotiana benthamiana. Its description in RNAcentral is "long non-coding RNA (NBEN_LNC030477)". The record is from RNAcentral. Lineage: Eukaryota; Viridiplantae; Streptophyta; Magnoliopsida; Solanales; Solanaceae.
UUGCUUAUAUAAAAAAUACACAAAAAAAGUAAAAUAAAAAAUCUGUGUGUGUGUGUAUACAAGUGUAUGUAUUAAAUAAAGAAUGGCUAUAUUUACAAUGUCUUAAAAUGGCUACUUAUGUAAUAUCUGUUGCUGUUUGUUUGUUCUUCAGAUUGGGCUGCAGUUGAGUUGAGCCCAAUAUCUCAACACCCCCCCUCAAGCUGGAGGGUGGGUGAACACCCAGCUUGGGCAAGAAGGAAUGAUGCAGGAUACCUAUCAAGGGCUUUGUAAAAAUGUCAGCAAGUUGUGAGCCAGAAAUAACAUGAUGUAAAGUGAUG